UUGUCGUCAGCUCGUGUCGUGAGAUGUUGGGUUAAGUCCCCCAACGAGCGCAACCCCUGCCCUUUGUUGCCCCCAUUAAGUUGGGCACUCUAGAGGGACUGCCGAGGAUAAAUCGGAGGAAGGUGGGGAUGACGUCAAAUCAUCAUGCCCCUUAUGGUUAGGGGUACACACGUGCACAAUGGGUGGUACAAAGGGUUGUCAAGCCGCGAGGUGGAGCUAAUCCCUUAAAGCCAUUCUCAGUUCGGAUUGUAGGGUGAAACUCGCCUACAUGAAGCAGGAGUUACUAGUAAUCGCAGAUCAGAAUGCUGCGGUGAAUGCGUUCCCGGGUCUUGUACACACCGCCCGUCACACCAUGGAAGUUGGGGGCGCCCGAAGCCGGUUGCUAACCUUUUGAAGCGGCCUCGAAGGGGAAACCA
Molecule: ribosomal RNA, 416 nt
Filed under: Clostridium sp. PCP09
Lineage: Bacteria; Bacillati; Bacillota; Clostridia; Eubacteriales; Clostridiaceae
Description: bacterial SSU rRNA
Rfam family: Bacterial small subunit ribosomal RNA
Source: RNAcentral